CGCUACGGACUUAAAUCCGUCGACUUUAGAAAUCGUGAGGGUUCAAGUCCCUCUAUCCCCA
Molecule: transfer RNA, 61 nt
Filed under: Akebia quinata (five-leaf akebia)
Lineage: Eukaryota; Viridiplantae; Streptophyta; Magnoliopsida; Ranunculales; Lardizabalaceae
Also listed under: 3 other names
Description: partial transfer RNA-Leu
Source: RNAcentral